GCUUGUCUCAAAGAUUAAGCCAUGCAAGUCUCAGUACAAGCUGAUUUAAAGUGAAACCGCAAAAGGCUCAGUAAACCGGUCAUAGUUUACCGGAUAAAUGCCACUCACGUGGAUAACUGUGGUAAUUCUAGAGCUAAUACAUGAAAACAAGUCCCGACCAGCGAUGGAGAGGACGCUUUUAUUUGAACAAAACCAUUCGCCCGGCCCGUCCGGGCGUCUACCUGGUGAGCCUAAAUAACACAACAGAUCGCACGGUCAUUGUACCGGUGACGUAUCCUUCAAAUGUCUGACUUAUCAGCUGUCGAUGGUAGACUCUGUGUCUACCAUGGCGCUCACGGGUGACGGGGAAUCAGGGUUCGAUUCCGGAGAGGGAGCCUGAGAAACGGCUACCACAUCCAAGGAAGGCAGCAGGCACGCAAAUUACCCACUCCCGGCACGGGGAGGUAGUGACAAAAAAUAACGAUACGGGACUCAUCCGAGGCCCCGUAAUCGGAAUGAGAACACUCUAAAUCCUUUAACGAUGAUCUAUUGGAGGGAAAGUCUGGUGCCAGCAGCCGCGGUAAUUCCAGCUCCAAUAGCGUAUAUUAAAGUUGUUGCGGUUAAGGGGACAGGCGGCUCUUAGCCGCACGAGAUUGAGCAAAAACAGGUCUGUGAUGCCCUUAGAUGUUCUGGGCCGCACGCGCGCUACACUGAAGGAAUCAGCGUGUGCUCCCCUGUCCGAAAGGUCCGGGUAACCCGCUGAACCUCCUUCGUGCUAGGAAUUGGGGCUUGCAAUUGUUCCCCAUGAACGAGGAAUUCCCAGUAAGCGCGAGUCAUAAGCUCGCGUUGAUUACGUCCCUGCCCUUUGCACACACCGCCCGUCGCUACUACCGAUUGAAUGAUUUAGUGAGGUCUUCGGACCGGCGAUAAUUGGCACCGACGUCUCGUCUGGUAUCGAUUUCGCUGGAAAGAUGACCGAACUUGAUUAUUUAGAGGAAGUAAAAGUCGUAACAAGGUUUCCCUUGGCAAAUGCUUUCGCAAAAAGCUCGUAGUUGGUUCUGCGUGCCGCGCUGUCGGUUCACCGCCUGCCGGUGCAACUGGCAUGCCGCGGCAUGUCCUGUCGGUGGCGGAUAGGCGUCGGCCCGCCUUCCAUGCGGUUACCGCCGUGUGGGAUGCUGCGGUUCCGUCGUCCUUGUACGCCGGCUCAAUCCUACCGCGGUGCUCUUCACCGAGUGUCGAGGUAGGCCGACACUGUUUACUUUGAACAAAUUAGAGUGCUUCAUGCAGGCUAAAUAUACAGCCUGAAUAGUGGUGCAUGGAAUAAUGGAACAGGACCUUGGUUCUAUUUUGUUGGUUUCCGGAAUCCAAGGUAAUGAUCAAUAAGGACAGGCGGGGGCAUUCGUAUUGCGACGUUAGAGGUGAAAUUCUUGGAUCGUCGCAAGACGCACUAAAGCGAAAGCAUUUGCCAAGUAUGUCUUAAUUGAUCAAGAACGAAAGUUAGAGGUUCGAAGGCGAUCAGAUACCGCCCUAGUUCUAACCAUAAACGAUGCCAGCCAGCGAUCCGCCGACGUUCCUCCGAUGACUCGGCGGGGAGCUUUCCCCGGGAAACCAAAGCUUUUGGGUUCCGGGGGAAGUAUGGUUGCAAAGCUGAAACUUAAAGGAAUUGGCGGAAGGGCACCACCAGAAGUGGAGCCUGCGGCUUAAUUUGACUCAACACGGGAAACCUCACCAGGCCCGGACAUUGGAAGGAUUGACAGAUCGAUAGCUCUUUCUCGAUUCAGUGGGUAGUGGUGCAUGGCCGUUUUUAGUUGGUGGACUGAUUUGUCUGGUUAAUUCCGAUAACGAACGAGACUCUGACCUAUUAACUAGGCGACACCGGUAUAGAUAGCUACCGGCGAGAUUUAUUCUUCUU
Molecule: ribosomal RNA, 1891 nt
Filed under: Pachygrontha sp. WCW-2003
Lineage: Eukaryota; Metazoa; Arthropoda; Insecta; Hemiptera; Pachygronthidae
Description: bacterial SSU rRNA
Rfam family: Eukaryotic small subunit ribosomal RNA
Source: RNAcentral